This 275-nucleotide long non-coding RNA is filed under the name Physcomitrium patens. Its description in RNAcentral is "long non-coding RNA (PPAT_LNC000931)". The record is from RNAcentral. Lineage: Eukaryota; Viridiplantae; Streptophyta; Bryopsida; Funariales; Funariaceae.
UCCACUGACUGUCUCGUUAGAUUAAUCCAAUAAAUUUCAUUCACUCCGCAUACUCAAUCCUACAGACACCCUUUUAAUUCUUCAUCACAGACGUAACUCGAUUCCAUAAAACAGUCAAGAGUAAUCAAACCCACUUCAUUAAAAAUCCCGAUUCACCAUUACAACACUGACUUCAGCAACGAUUGCCUCAGUCUUCCCAAAACUCUAUGAAGAAAAAAAACCCAAUUCUCUGUCUUUUUUUCCCUUCCCGAAGCAUGAAGCUAGCUCUCUGAUCC